Molecule: non-coding RNA, 506 nt
Organism: Anas platyrhynchos (mallard)
Lineage: Eukaryota; Metazoa; Chordata; Aves; Anseriformes; Anatidae
Source: RefSeq, a predicted model, not a curated record
UAGGCUGGGCAUCGGUCAGCGAGUGGUGAGCAAUUGCAUUGUGCAUCACUUGUUUAAUUAUAUAACGAACUGUGUACCUGUUCCACACAAGGGGAAGCCAUGAAGUUUACCAGGGAACACAGUGGUAAGAAAAGGACAUGCCUAAGCAUUUGGCUCACUUUAUGUUUGUUUCCAAGAACUUGUGUAUCAAAUCCUUCAAAACCCAAUUUUUUACUAAUACUGGCUGAUGAUCUUGGUAUUGGAGAUGUGGGUUGUUAUGGCAAUGAUACAAUAAGGACCUCUAACAUUGAUGGCCUGGCAAAGGAAGGAGUGAGACUUAGUCAGCACAUUGCUGCAGCUUCUGUCUGUACUCCAAGCAGAGCAGCCUUCCUGACUGGCAGAUACCCCAUCAGAUCAGGUUGGGCCUCUCUCUAAUGGUUGACUGAAGCUUGUCUAGCCAUUAUUGCUGUUAAAAAUACCCUUAAAUAACCCCAUUAUAACCCUUUAAUAAAGGCUUGUUAAUCUAA